Molecule: ribosomal RNA, 468 nt
Filed under: uncultured bacterium
Lineage: Bacteria
Description: partial 16S ribosomal RNA
Rfam family: Bacterial small subunit ribosomal RNA
Source: RNAcentral
GACGAACGCUGGCGGCGUGCUUAACACAUGCAAGUCGAACGGAAAGGCCCUGCUUUUGUGGGGUGCUCGAGUGGCGAACGGGUGAGUAACACGUGAGUAACCUGCCCUUGACUUUGGGAUAACUUCAGGAAACUGGGGCUAAUACCGGAUAGGAGCUCCUGCUGCAUGGUGGGGGUUGGAAAGUUUCGGCGGUUGGGGAUGGACUCGCGGCUUAUCAGCUUGUUGGUGGGGUAGUGGCUUACCAAGGCUUUGACGGGUAGCCGGCCUGAGAGGGUGACCGGCCACCUUGGGACUGAGAUACGGCCCAGACUCCUACGGGAGGCAGCAGUGGGGAAUAUUGCACAAUGGGCGGAAGCCUGAUGCAGCAACGCCGCGUGCGGGAUGACGGCCUUCGGGUUGUAAACCGCUUUCGCCUGUGACGAAGCGUAAGUGACGGUAAUGGGUAAAGAAGCACCGGCUAACUACGUG